Molecule: ribosomal RNA, 465 nt
Filed under: uncultured bacterium
Lineage: Bacteria
Description: SSU rRNA
Rfam family: Bacterial small subunit ribosomal RNA
Source: RNAcentral
AGAAUCAACGCUGGCGGCGUGCCUAACACAUGCAAGUCGAACGAGAAAGUGGAGCAAUCCAUGAGUAAAGUGGCGACCGGGUGAGUAACACGUGACUAACCUACCUUCGAGUGGGGGAUAACCUCGGGAAACCGAGGCUAAUACCGCAUAACAUCGCAAGAUCAAAGCAGCAAUGCGCUGGAAGAGGGGGUCGCGGCUGAUUAGCUAGUUGGCGGGGUAACGCCCACCAAGGCGAAGAUCGGUAGCCGGCCUGAGAGGGGCGCGACGGACCGACGACCUGGAACGUGAAACACGGUCCAGACUCCUACGGGAGGCAGCAGUGGGGAAUUUUGCGCAAUGGGGGAAACCUGACGCAGCAACGCCGCGUGGAGGAUGAAGCCCCUUGGGGCGUAAACUCCUUUCGACCAAGACGAUAAUGACGGUACUGGUGGAAGAAGCACCGGCUAACUCUGUGCCAGCAGCCGC